This 406-nucleotide ribosomal RNA is filed under the name uncultured bacterium. Its description in RNAcentral is "partial 16S ribosomal RNA". It matches the Rfam family "Bacterial small subunit ribosomal RNA", at positions 30 to 526 of the family's 1533-position model. The record is from RNAcentral.
AUUGAACGCUGGCGGCAGGCUUAACACAUGCAAGUCGAGCGAGCGGCGGACGGGUGAGUAAUGUCUGGGAAACUGCCUGAUGGAGGGGGAUCACUACUGGAAACGGUAGCUACAUCCGCAUACAUUCACAUGUGCCCAGGUGGGAUUAGCUAGUAGUUGGGGUAAUGGCUCACCUAGGCGACGAUCCCUAGCUGGUCUGAGAGGAUGACCAGUCACACUGGAACUGAGACACGGUCCAGACUCCUACGGGAGGCAGCAGUGGGGAAUAUUGCACAAUGGGCGAAAGCCUGAUGCAGCCAUGCCGCGUGUGUGAAGAAGGCCUUCGGGUUGUAAAGCACUUUCAGCGGGGAGGCGUUACUAGCAGAAGAAGCACCGGCUAACUCCGUGCCAGCAGCCGCGGUAAUAC